Molecule: long non-coding RNA, 1226 nt
Organism: Salvia splendens (bonfire salvia)
Lineage: Eukaryota; Viridiplantae; Streptophyta; Magnoliopsida; Lamiales; Lamiaceae
Exons: 3
Source: RefSeq, a predicted model, not a curated record
AGGCUUUGAGGUAAACCAAUAACGCCACUUUGAACAUGAGUAGAAAAUUGGGGGAAUUGUAACAUAACAUUCCCAAACCAACACAAGCCCUUUGAACAAAUCUGUGCAGAAGAGAAGCGACACUCCCACCGCAACGAGAGAUUUCAGAUGAGGGAACAUAAGAAGCAAAAUGCUUAUGUGAGGCAAAUAAUUGAGGACAUAAUGUGGACUCACACGGUGGCGCGAAUUUGUAUCUUGUACAUGAUUUUUCGCAAAGUUUCGAAGAAAAGGAGGCGAGCUGAAUUUGCGUUGGCUUACGACAUUCUGAAUCGAGUACCGAUGCAGAUUCAACGUCUAAACAGACUGGUUGGGGUAACUGACACAGAUUGUCUAGUUAAUUGUAGGAUGGACCGGAAUACGUUUGGAAGGUUGUGCUCAUUGUUUACAGAGUUGGGAAUGUUACGCGUCCGGAGGUUCGUAGGGAUAGAAGAGCAAGUCGCCAUUUUUCUAGGUGUCAUAGCACAUCACAAGAAAAACCGUAUGGUUUGAUUUGAACAUUGGCGAUCAGGGAACACAGUUUCAUUCUACGUUCAUGAGGUCCUUGUAGCAGUAUUAAAGUUGCAUUCCUUGUUCUUGGUCAAACCCGAGCCAAUUCGCGAAGAUUGUGUAGAUUGGCGAUGGAAAUGUUUUCAGGGGUGUCUUGGUGCUCUUGAUGGCACCAAGAUAUUAAGCAGGAGAGUGCACCACUGAUAUUCAAUAUUUCUGACACUACCGUGCCCGUAGAGGAUCUCAAUCGGAUGUAUAAGCCAUUAGAUGGAGUUGGAAUGGCACCGACCGCAGAGCUAAGCGUGUCCGUCUCUUCUCCUCCCAUGCCCAAAGUGCCAAAGAUGAAACGCAAUUUGUUUGGAAACGGGUUCACGACUGUGGGUAGUCAGUCCAAUAACGUGGAUAUGGACCCGAGUAUGGGGAAGAAAUACCCCCCAAAGCCGAAGAAAUUUCCUCCAAGCAAUUUAGGUUCGCCACAUGGAAGUUCAUGUGGCUCUUCGAACACCUACAAGUAUUGAUGGCUAUAAUCGACCUUGUUUGUUCAAACUAAAUUUUGUUGUAUUUUCUAAUUCACGUUUUAUGUUGUAUUUGUCUUCGUUCUACUCUAUUAAGCUAGGUUGUGUAUGUGAUCUAUCUUGUGUAGGUUUUGUUGGAAUAUCUAUGUGGAAAUUCAAUCAAUGUGAUCAAUAUUUGCUGAUUAA